AUGCUCGCUCCGGCAGCACAUAUACUAAAACUGGAACGAUACAGAGAAGAUUAGCAUGGCCCCUGUGCAAGGAUGACACGCAAAUUCAUGAAGCGUUCCAUUUUUUU
Neomonachus schauinslandi (Hawaiian monk seal) is the source of this 107-nucleotide small nuclear RNA. The record is from RefSeq and is a predicted model, not a curated record. NCBI's taxonomy places the organism in Eukaryota, Metazoa, Chordata, Mammalia, Carnivora, Phocidae.